GAUGAAUUAUAAAAUAGAGAAAUAAUAUACUAUUGUAAAUGUUGUGGUUUAAAAAACAGCUAAGUAGAAGUAUAAUGUAUGAUCACUUAAAGUGCAAACCAUUUCCAAAUGGAUACACCCUUUGGGUACAUCGUGGGGAGUCCACUUGAUCACUUAUUUGCAUUGGUCUAACUUGGUUGUCAUCAAUGUUUGCAAUGUAAGUUGUUUGGAGUCUCAAUCUUGUGAACAAAAAGGAAUCAUCAUAUGAGGAUAUUUGACGCAAAACAAUGGAAAAGAAUAAAAACAAAGGAUGGAAACUCUCAAUCUGACUAAUCUCUCAAUCUCACUUUUGUUUCACGAAGGGUCGCUCGAGUUUUAUACUACCUUCUUUGAUGACAACACCACCAACUAUAGUGCAAGCGACAAAACUACCACUUUCUCAGGCGACAACACUGCCAAUAGUGCAAGCGAUAUAACCACCACCUUCUCUGAUGACAAAAUCACCAUUAGUGCAAGCGACAAAACCAAUACCUUCCAAAGACAUCCUCUCACUAUGAAGAUGUGGUGGAAGAUGAACCAUAAAUUGCUCAAAAAAGGAAUUCUACAUAUUGGAAUGUAGAAGUUAUGAGGCAUGACGUAUUUCAAAUACACACUUAAGGGUAACAGACGUACUUGAAGCUCCUCAUAAUGUUAUCAGGAUAAUAACUAGAUGGAAUUCAAAGUGGUAGUCGGUAGGAUCAGUUGUUGGUUUGUUAUGCGAUUUUUUGGGUGAAAUUGCUACGAAGUUUAAGGAUUUUCUUGUAAUAUACGACAAUUGGAGACUAGUUCCAUCGACCAGAAAAAAUGAAUUUUUUGGGAAUAAAAUAAAGGUAUUAUUGAUAAA
Molecule: non-coding RNA, 862 nt
Organism: Cicer arietinum (chickpea)
Lineage: Eukaryota; Viridiplantae; Streptophyta; Magnoliopsida; Fabales; Fabaceae
Source: RefSeq, a predicted model, not a curated record